GUAGCAAACUAUCUUUCAAUGAGUUUGACUGAGGUGAUAUGAAGCACGCUGCUGCCUUUACGUGCUGUCGGAAUUAUGGAAUAGGACGUGGGCGCAAAAGUUAACAAUGCAACUGUAUUAUUUCAUAACUCUCGAGCACCGAUGGAGGAACUUCCGAGGAUCCGUGAAGGCAGCACGUGGCCCAGCUUUAACAGCUCUCCAGAUAUGUCAGACAUUAAGAGAAAUGGACCACCAGACCCCGUGUCUCUGGACCAGAGACCAGUGCAGUCUAUCAGAAGUCUCUUUCCCGGUGCUGGCUGAGCGUUACUGAGCA
Perca fluviatilis (European perch) is the source of this 313-nucleotide long non-coding RNA. RefSeq lists it as uncharacterized. NCBI's taxonomy places the organism in Eukaryota, Metazoa, Chordata, Actinopteri, Perciformes, Percidae. The transcript is spliced from 3 exons. The record is from RefSeq and is a predicted model, not a curated record.